UACGGAAGGCAGCAGUGGGGAAUAUUGCACAAUGGGCGCAAGCCUGAUGCAGCCAUGCCGCGUGUAUGAAAAAGGCCUUCGGGUUGUAAAGUACUUUCAGUCGUGAGGAAGGUGUUAAGGUUAAUAACCUUAGCAAUUGACGUUAGCGACAGAAGAAGCACCGACUAACUCCGUGCCAGCAGCCGCGGUAAUACGGAGGGUGCGAGCGUUAAUCGGAAUUACUGGGCGUAAAGGGCACGCAGGCGGUUAAUUAAGUUGGAUGUGAAAUCCCCGGGCUUAACCUGGGAAUGGCAUUCAAGCUGGUUAGCUAGAGUCUUGUAGAGGGGGUAGAAUUCCAUGUGUAGCGGUGAAAUGCGUAGAGAUGUGGAGGAAUACCGGUGGCGAAGGCGGCCCCUGGACAAAGACUGACGCUCAUGUGCGAAAGCGUGGGGAGCGAAACGAGGAUUAGAUACC
RNAcentral lists this ribosomal RNA (453 nucleotides) under uncultured bacterium. RNAcentral describes it as "bacterial SSU rRNA". It matches the Rfam family "Bacterial small subunit ribosomal RNA", at positions 340 to 786 of the family's 1533-position model. The record is from RNAcentral.